RNAcentral lists this long non-coding RNA (204 nucleotides) under Mytilus galloprovincialis (Mediterranean mussel). The record is from RNAcentral. Lineage: Eukaryota; Metazoa; Mollusca; Bivalvia; Mytilida; Mytilidae.
UUUUUGAUAAUUCCUUGAUAUGAAAAAACGUUACCUGAUGAUAGCGUUUCUUUGUUUACAUUGCAUAUGACGUCAUAACUUAAAUAACGUCACAACUAAAAUCCAUAACAACAGAACCAAAAUCGGAAACGUUACGGUAUUUCCGUUUCUUUUUUUUAACAAAUAUUUAAGUUACAAAAAAAUAAUUCAUUCAGACUUCGUCCC